RNAcentral lists this ribosomal RNA (497 nucleotides) under uncultured bacterium. RNAcentral's name for it is "partial 16S ribosomal RNA". It matches the Rfam family "Bacterial small subunit ribosomal RNA", at positions 28 to 507 of the family's 1533-position model. The record is from RNAcentral.
GAUGAACGCUGGCGGCGUGCCUAAUACAUGCAAGUCGAGCGAACAGAUAAGGAGCUUGCUCCUUUGACGUUAGCGGCGGACGGGUGAGUAACACGUGGGUAACCUACCUAUAAGACUGGGAUAACUUCGGGAAACCGGAGCUAAUACCGGAUAAUAUUUCGAACCGCAUGGUUCGAUAGUGAAAGAUGGUUUUGCUAUCACUUAUAGAUGGACCCGCGCCGUAUUAGCUAGUUGGUAAGGUAACGGCUUACCAAGGCGACGAUACGUAGCCGACCUGAGAGGGUGAUCGGCCAAACUGGAACUGAGACGCGGUCCAGACUCCUACGGGAGGCAGCAGUAGGGAAUCUUCCGCAAUGGGCGAAAGCCUGACGGAGCAACGCCGCGUGAGUGAUGAAGGUCUUCGGAUCGUAAAACUCUGUUAUUAGGGAAGAACAUACGUGUAAGUAACUGUGCACGUCUUGACGGUACCUAAUCAGAAAGCCACGGCUAACUACGUG